RNAcentral lists this ribosomal RNA (229 nucleotides) under uncultured bacterium. Its description in RNAcentral is "partial 16S ribosomal RNA". It matches the Rfam family "Bacterial small subunit ribosomal RNA", at positions 568 to 796 of the family's 1533-position model. The record is from RNAcentral.
CACGUAGGCGGCUUGGUAAGUCAGAUGUGAAAGCCCGGGGCUUAACCCCGGAAGUGCAUUUGAUACUGCCAGGCUUGAGUAUGGGAGAGGGAAGUGGAAUUCCUGGUGUAGAGGUGAAAUUUGUAGAUAUCAGGAGGAACACCGGUGGCGAAGGCGGCUUCCUGGACUGACAAUGACGCUGAGCCACGAAAGCGUGGGUAGCAAACAGGAUUAGAUACCCUGGUAGUCC